RNAcentral lists this long non-coding RNA (236 nucleotides) under Lathyrus oleraceus (garden pea). RNAcentral describes it as "Pisum sativum (pea) long non-coding RNA (PSAT_LNC000528)". The record is from RNAcentral. Lineage: Eukaryota; Viridiplantae; Streptophyta; Magnoliopsida; Fabales; Fabaceae.
UCAACCAAAACCAAAGUCAAACAUUUGAGAAGCUAUCACAAUUGGGCCCACAUUCAAAUCAUGCAUUAUGAUCAUUCCAUGAACAUUUGAAGUCAAAGUAAGGCAAAGGAAAGCAUACAAAAGUCAACAGAAUGACUUGCAUCAAAAGUCAACCCAAGCAUUUUCAAAAAUCAUCAAAUAAAUCACACUCAAUCCUAACAUCUAACAUGGUAGACAUGUAAAAUUUCAUGGCAUUU